This 434-nucleotide ribosomal RNA is filed under the name uncultured bacterium. Its description in RNAcentral is "partial 16S ribosomal RNA". It matches the Rfam family "Bacterial small subunit ribosomal RNA", at positions 29 to 507 of the family's 1533-position model. The record is from RNAcentral.
AGCGAACGCUGGCGGCAGGCCUAACACAUGCAAGUCGAACGAACCUUUCGGGGUUAGUGGCGGACGGGUGAGUAACACGUGGGAACGUGCCUUUAGGUUCGGAAUAACUCAGGGAAACUUGUGCUAAUACCGAAUGUGCCCUUCGGGGGAAAGAUUUAUCGCCUUUAGAGCGGCCUGCGUCUGAUUAGCUAGUUGGUUGAGGUAAUGGCUCACCAAGGCGACGAUCAGUAGCUGGUCUGAGAGGAUGAUCAGCCACAUUGGGACUGAGACACGGCCCAAACUCCUACGGGAGGCAGCAGUGGGGAAUCUUGCGCAAUGGGCGAAAGCCUGACGCAGCCAUGCCGCGUGAAUGAUGAAGGUCUUAGGAUUGUAAAAUUCUUUCACCGGGGACGAUAAUGACGGUACCCGGAGAAGAAGCCCCGGCUAACUUCGUG